GGGGGUGGGGAUAAAAAGUUUGAGGGGCGCUUCCACGGUUUCUGAAUGCAACUCCCUUCUUUUGAUUCUUUCAUUCUUUUUCGAAAAUGAUUAGGAAUUAAAUUAAUCAUCAUUGUUCGAUAAUGCCUGAUAAACCCGUAUUUUACUUUCAAAGCUACCAGUUGUCAAAUCACGACUAGAAGAGAAAGGCAUAGGUACAUAAAUGUCUGUCAUCAUAAUCACUACAAGGAAAAAGAAAGAACCAAAAAUUUUGGCUAAAAUUUGACAAUGACAGAGAGUUAUAUUUCCUCCGGCUUCGUGUCUUGGCACGUCUUGACAUGAUAUGAGCCACUUUCGUUAGGAUCAAAUUCAGAGUUUUGAAAAACUGUUGAAUAUGCUCAUAAGUACUGUGAUAAAUUUUUCAAUCCCCUUUCUUAUGAGGAAAAAACUUCACACAAAUCAAAGCUCGAGACAAAACCUCGAUAACACGAUAACACGGCUUAUGGUUUUGCUCUGAUAAAUCGUAUGCUUGGGCAAAAUAUAAAAUAACUUUUAUUACACUUUUGAAUUUUUGGUUAUUAAAAGAAGAUUUCAUUUAUAUUCGAUCGUUCAUUUCUUUUUGCGUUGUUCCUGCCUAUUGUCUACAAGUUUCCUACCAAGGAUCGCAUGAUCAACGACAUCACAAUCAUAUGACCAGUGGUCAAUGAAUUGAUAUACCAGUCAUUUGUACCAGACAGUGGACAAGCGACUACGGUGUGCAUGUAUCUCAAUACAGAUUGACUGAAAAACAGUGAUUUGCUUGUGCUUGUGACCGAGUAUUUGAAAGAAAUGUAAGGACAGCAAUAGCAAUAAAAUUAGAUUGAUCAUCAUGCUACCACCCAUUGUUGCAACUGGGGCAACUCCUAAUCGCCUGUGACAGUGUAUGACACAAACACUAGUGCCAGUGAAUUAGUUCAAGAUAUUACAUAUGGAUUCCUAAAAGAACCCUUUCUAAAAUCACAAAAUUGCUUACUUAGUCACUAGGACCAAAAUCCAAAUAUAAAUGGCAAUUUAAAAUUUUUUAGGUCAACCAAUUUGGAAUAAAAAGGUUGGUACAUCUACAGUCAGAGGAUCAUCUGCUUUUUGCUGGCUAUUUGGACCUAUUGCAACCAAAUGAUAAUUGAAGACUUCUGCAAUGUUUUCACAAUUGUAUGUUACACAUGUGGGAAAGGUUCUCUUAGUAGCAACGCUAUUCAAGACUUUCUUAAUUGGCUUCAAAAUUUCUUUAGGAUUGCUGAUGGUCUCAUGGUGUGCAUGGUCUUAUUUUGUUAUGUUGUUUGUUAUGUUAUAUUGUUAUAUUAUAUGUUGCGUUGUUUUGUUAUAUUUUGCAAUUCCUUACUCGAAUAAUCCCAUUCCUGCACCCCUUCCCCCAAAACAAUGUUGAUAGAUUAGAAAAAUACCAUAGAAGUCGCAAAAAACGUACUUACUAAUCCCCUACGUCGUUUUGUAGAAAACCAACAUUGUUCGAAGAGGAAUGGCUAAAUUUGCCCUUGAAAACUGACAUUAGUGUACCUAGACUUUUCACAGGCAUUUUAGAAGUCUUAACUGGUGCUUGCACUUUCAGUUGUUACUUUAUUGCUUAUUUUCUGCAUUCAGGUCAGAAUACAUGGAGCCAAUGCAAAAAUUAAUUUUGCUUAUAGGGUUUUUUUGCAUCUAGAAUUGACAGGAUAAUUGUGAAGAAGCUUCAUGUCAAGUCGCUGGUGUCCCUUGAAAUUGCCAAGAUAUAACUGUCAUAGUCGAUACUUUGUAAAUCAUGAAGAAAUAUCCUAAAAGUAGUUCUCUAGACUACACAUAGAUAUCCUAUCUCGAUGAGCUCCAAAACUAGGUGAACGAGGUUGGAGGCAAGAUAUUCUGGCAAAAAAUUGGAAAAAUUACCCAAAGCCCCAAGUAAUUUUUUUAUUGGUAUUUUCAUUAUAAAUUUUCAAAAAAAUAAGCAGAAAUAAUUAAAGAGUCAGUAAAGAGACAUGUUUAUCAUACCAUUUUAUCAUAUAUUAUCUCCCUCUAAAUCUUUCUAUUUUAUAUAAAUAAAACUUUUAUAACUCUCAUUAUUCACAAUAAUUUAUACACGUCAAAUAAACAGCUAUAUAAUCAAUCAACAAUAUGACCUUAUUUUAAUCCAUCAUCAAAUGCCCUACAUUAUUCAAGUCACUAAUAGCAAAAGUAAUGCUUUUGUGCUCAAUAAAUUUUGGUGUACCAGUAUGAUUUUGAUUAAAAUAUCAAAAGAUUGUUCACAUCGAAAUAACAGAUAGGUGUUUUAACAAAGCAAAAAAGCUUCAAGGUUUGAUUCUUUGGAUACUGACUUUUGAACAAGCCCAAUGAAUGAAUCCCAAAAUUUGGAGCACAGUUUAAACAUCACUUUACAUAAAAUGUUGGGCCACAUUGUUAACUAUACAUCAUAAAUGUAUAUAAAUCGGAAUGUUCGUAACAUGUCCUCUUUUUAAAUAACACUUGGUAGAAUCUUCUAACAGUCAGGUUUUUAACUAUUCUAUAGAAUGUUAAGGUUUCUGCUUAAAUAUAAAUUAAUCACAUAAAUAAUCGGAACAAUACCACAAACAAAGUAAUGAUAUCAACUUUUGAGCCAAACAAAGAACAUCAAGACAUAACACUUAUAAUAUUAAUUCAAAAGCUCCUAACAAAUUCAUAUGACAGUCACUGAGACCCACUAUCAGGGGAAUAUUAUAACACUCUGAGUAUUCAUCAUAUACUGUACUUUUGAGCAAAGAUCUGGAGUUCAAUUAUGUAUCUUUAAUGCACGCUUUUUGGUAUGUUAUGUAUUUGUCUUAACCUAUAUUUCCAUAUUAUGUUUUGAGAAAGUUUUUUUAGUAAAAGUAUUGCACAAUAUAUUUGCCAUAUGGGACACAGGACUUUCAGGCUUCUGUCACACAAGACAAUGUCAGUAAAGUAUAUAGGCCAAACUUUCUAGAUAAAAACAAAGGUUUUCUAGAGCAAAUAAAUAAUUAUAAUAAGUUAUUUUGCCUUUUUAGAGUAUGAAAAUGAAAUUGUGGGAGUUUCGGGUUUUAUAACAAAGUGUGGAUUCUUAAAUUUGAAAAGUGGGGAAUUUUCAGAUCUACAUCAUACAGAAAUGUAUAGGGCAUCAGCUAGAUAUUUCCAGCUUAUUCAUCUGAAGAUAAUUUAUAUUAACAAUAUCUAUGAUAAAGUUGGUUUCGUUUAAAAAAAAAUAAUUAGUAUCUAUUAGGGCAGAUUGAGCAGACAAGUCUGAUCAAUGCAAUAUGUCAUUUGCGUGUAAAUCUGCGUUUCGCGGGUGUAAACGAGGGAAAGCACGUUGUGGUUCAAAACAAUGGGAUAUGCAUAUUGAAUGCAGAAGACAAGACAAAACGAUAAGUCUCUAAACAAAAUUUCGCAAAUUUAUCUAGUCUAAACUGCCAUUCUUUGAAGCGUGCGGUCUCUGUUUAUUUUUGUCAGUCUUAUUGCUAACGAUAAUCCAAACCGUUGUGAAGGGCCGUUUAUUGUUUUUCCAAGUUGGUUGUCUGUGUACAAGUUCUUUUGUUUGGUGACAAUAGACCUCGCUAAAGCAGCCGUGGCCGCCCUGUUCAGCGGAGGGCUGUUAGGCAUGGCACAGGUGUUCGAGACAUGGAGUUAUUGUAGUAUAGCAACGUGCAUAGGCAGGUUGUUUUGAUUCAUACACAUUGAGAGCCUCUUUAACAUAAGUACCACUUAUAAAUAUUUCCUAACACAUAUAACUCAGAAUAUGCAAUAAUAUUAACACAUUUUGUCAGGCUGUGAAGCCUUUAUAAAGAAUUUUUGACAUUGUUUGAUAAGAGAACUGCCAUUAAAAAUGUUCUUUUCUUGGAAUCUUCUUUUGAACAGACAGACGAACAAGUAAAACCUUGCAUAAAAGCUGCUUUUUAAGCAUCGUUAAAAUUUAUACCGCAGGAAAUUUGACCCAACACGAUUGUACGAAGAAAGCCUUGCACAAAAAGCAAGCCUUCAAUAAAAUUAAAUAUAUACAUUAUUCAUAUCUGGGGGUGGACAAAAGGAAAGCGCGAGUGCAUUGAAUGCAAGUGGUUUAAAAGGCCACGUCGCCUAACAAAAUUCCUACCACAAAAUUUGCAUGGGUAAGUGACGUGGUCGGUUUCGUGUAAUUUUACGUGUUUUUUCAUGUUGCUUGGAUCACUAAAGGAUUUUCCACAAACCUGGCAUUUUAAGGGUUUUUCCCCUGAGUGUGUCCUCAUGUGAAUCUUCAGCACGUAUUUUCUGCAAUAAAUUUUUCCACAUUUUUCGCAUUUGAAGCCUUUGCUCCCUGAAACUUGUUGUUGCUGCCGUGUUUGUAAGGGUUGUGUGGGGGUUUCCUCUCCGUCGCUAUGUUGUUCCUUUUUCUUCACAGGACGGGGGGUUACCUUGGGCUUCUCUGGAACUUCUUCUAUAGUUUCCUCUUCUUGCUUUAUAGGAAAUUUUCGUUCCACAUUCUGUUGUUGGACAUCUUCUGCUUGCACGGCCCCCAGGGUGUUUCUGUUGAACUCAAUUCUUCCAGUGUUUCGCAGCAGAGGAAAAUCUUUGAUCAUCAAAGGAAUGGGUAAAGAACACAAUGUAUUGUCUCCGUUCAACCAGGUAAAAUUUGUUCCCCCGCGUUUUGACCCAAUGUCACACUUGGAUACGGUAGAUCGCUGAAACUCCAUACUAUCAACUGGUUCAAAAAACUGGCUGAUGUUUGGCAACUUAUUACUUUUGUCUCCCUCGGCUUCCUCUUGGUCAUUUUUGCCAGGGAUGUCGUAAGAAGUAGGCUCUGGGGAACUUCUCUCUAUUUUUACCUUUACUUCAUCAAAUGUAGCAGUUCCGUUAUCAUGUACCAUUAAAUUCAAAGUAUCAUUUCCGAUUAAAUUGUUUUCCUCUUCCUUUCCCAAUAUCCGCUCGAUUGUGAAGUUUUUAGCAUUGUCCGAGCGAUUGUCGAUCUCAUCGCUGCUGUCUGAUUUGAUAAGCAUUUUGUUAAUGGUUUGUUGUUGAUCGUUAUACAAAUGUGUACCAGUGGCGGGAACUCUGCGGAUGUUCUGCACAAUUUUUUCAUCAGGCGAUCUUCGCAUUUCCGAUGGAUCUGGUUCAGAUAAUCUGGCCUUCUUCGGUUUUGGCGAAGUAGCGAAAUCUGCCAACUUAUUUACUUGAUGGCCUAAGCCUUUUUCAGGCUUCGCUUUCGUGGGAACAGCCGGCGUUAGUUCUGGGCCUAAGUGAAAUUUCUCCUUCCUGCUCAAAUUGUCGCCAAGACGGCCGAAGAUCAAGUCACUGGUAAACAUAAAUGUCUUGCGGAAAGCUUCCUUGCUAAGGCUGGACUAUAUUGCUGGAAAAUCGUUUUCAGUCCUUUUCGCAAGAAGAGAAGCUACAAAACUGCCCUUGCCAAGGAGCUACAAGCAUGGGUCAAGAAGCCUGAUUGAAAUUUGAGAAAAAAUUCUUUGAAAAAAUCAAUUAAGUAAAGCAAUGCUGAUUGUCCCUAUUAAUUUCUUUUCAUGUGCAAGGGAAAACAACAAUUUUAUGAACAGAAGAAAUGCGACCUUGCGUAGAUUUCUCUAUUCCAGUUUCCUUUCAUAGUCUUUUUACUAUAAAAGCAAUGUUGCUAAGAUCGUUAUUUUUCCCUGAUUCCUCAACCGCGUCAGUUUUAGGCAAAACUGAGAUCAAAUCUUACUCCUUCGAUCUUUUUUGACAUCUUCACUUAGAUGCACGAAGAUAAUAAUUGCAGAGGAAUUCCGAAGUAAACAGUGAAAACCCGCGUGCAAGAACCUACUUUUUCCAGAGUAUCGCAAAACAGGUUCUUGUAUUAUUGGGUAUUUGUUGACAGUCUAGGCUUAAUGGGUUCUUAGUUUAGUUAUUAAUUUCUACAGAGUGGAUAUUGGUGUUGAUUAUCAGAAAAUAGUAUUAAAUCUUGUCUUUUAUUUAUUCUAAAUAUUUAUUCGCGUACCAAUAUUGCCAAAAGCCCACCAACAAUCAAUGAUACAGUGAUGUUUAUAAAAUAGUAGAAAUAAUUUUUUCGUAAUAACAAUUCAAAUUUAACAUAAAUUGUGCAUUUUUAUUUUAACAAUUUAAUUUUCUGUCAUAUAAUUGGUUUUUGGUAACAAAGUUUAUAGAUUAAAUGGCUAAACCCCACAUAUAAGAACCUGUUGGAAAAUGUUUGACUAAACAAGUUCUAAUGUUUUGGAGCAUUAAAAAAGCAAAUUUCUGCACCAAGAUUCUUAAGUCCUAGGUUCUUACACACGGGUUUUCACUGUAUUAUAAACUGUUGUCUGAAAGUUGAAAAGCUCACAUGCAGGUAAACCAAUGGUCGAAUGCAAAGAUAGGUGGAUCAUUUGGGAAAAAUUUUGGGUAAUAAACAUCAGGUAGGGACUGAACUAAUGAAGGAGGGACUUCAACGGAAUUUAGUACUCGAGCAAAUCUUUAGGUUUUAUCAAAAAGUGUGUAAUUUUGACAAUCCCUUUGGUCUAUGAGUACUAUAGAUCUCAAGUUUGAUAGUUUAUUGCGGUUAUCUCUAAUACAUCAUAUUAUGUAUCCUUUUAUCAUGGUAUUGCCGAUCCCAUAAUCCAAUCAACCAUUAUCGUUGUCGGAAUUCUCUCUUUUCGUCUUAUUGAUUUAUUGUUUCUGUUAGCUUAAUUUGCUGUAAAUGGAGUGGAAAUGGAGUUUCUUUUUUACUUUUACUUACGUUUAGGAAAAUAUUUAUUUUUAAGUAAUGUCUGAAAGACCGGAUAUUAUUUGUUUUUGUUUUAUGAAUUUGCAAAAUUGCACGAUUCCUGUGACGUAACGCCAAUUUGUAUCUUGUUACCAUCUUUUGUUUUUUUCACGGCCCAUCAAUUAAAAGUUUACACUUCAAAGGUACCUGCAUAUUACCUCGUCUAGGAUUCAGAGAUUCGUGCCCUUAUUAAAAUUCUAGUAGCUAUCUCUUCCAUACAAUAGAAAAGAGUCUUUUUUCUGAAUGCACAGCAUUUCAUCGUAAAGUCUGUUGAUUAGGGUACAAGAACGUGUUGCUCAGUAAAUUGCUUACGAAUCAAUUUACAUGCGUGUAGGCUAUUUAAUUUUGUAAAUGAUUCAUUGCAAGCAACAGAAUUCACGUUAUUGUGAUCCUAAAAAUUAAUCACCUGUGCAACACCUUUUGUCUUUGUUGAGAAUGCUGAAAAUAUCUGCCCGAUAUCAACGAUAUCAUAGAUAUCAACACAAAGUAGAAGUUGUGCAAGCUAUCUGCUGUACAAAUAUUGAGACAAUACAGCUGUAAUAACUUAGCUUUAAUUAGCAUUUAAAAAUUGGGCCAUUCAAAGACAAAUCAGAGAUGUUUUUUGAUAAAAGCCAAAUUUAUCGUUUGUCAUCUAUUUAAAAGGUUUUCUUAUAUCUCGAAUGAACAAUUGUCUGGAUAAGAAAUGUUGAACGAAACUAAAUUGUUCAUUGUAGGAGUUGAUUCGAGUUCUAUCAAAGCCCGCCAAAAUCAAUUUUAUGCUGACGUUAUCCUAUUUCCUAAGACAUUUUCGAUUUUCAAGAAUUUGAGGAGAAGAAAAAAAUGAUCGUGUGAAAGAACAGUCAGCUUGAACAUUAGUUUGUUUGAAAUCAUGUCAUUCACUACUGGGCGUUAUCAGUAGUCUUUCCUCAAUAAAGCAAAUUCAAUCUAUUUUUCAUAAUAAAACAGGUAGAUGGUAGAUAAGGCCCAAAUGAGAAUCUCCCAUUAGAUCUAUGGAAAAAGCAUACAAACGAUGUAUUUUUAUAGAAUGUCUUUACGUCAAAGUUGUAUUUAAUGUUUGCUCUAAUACUAUUUGAAAAAUUGACAAGCGAGAGUGUAAGUUAGUACCAAAUGAAUGGACAAGUACCAAUUUAAUGCAAUUUCGUGAAAAAGCAUCCUAAAAUCUUUACCAACCCCUCUUAUUUUGCAGCUUUUCUAUACGAAAAUUGAAUUUAUUGUUUAAAUAUUAAAGUAGUUUUCUGAAAUUGCGUCUUUCUACAUUGAAAAUGUAAAUAUUGUUAUGACGUUUUCAGCAUAACUCUUCAUCAAGUGACCUUGAUGCCCUUCUUCAGACCUGAUGAAGAGUUAUGCUCGAAAUGUCGUAACAAUAGUCAACUUUUCAUGUACAAAGUCGCAAUUCUGGUUAUAUUGAUUGGUAUUUAUCUCUUUCAACGUACAAUGCACGAAAGCACAUUGAUUAUUAAACCGACCCUUUAAAUGUGCUUGUCUUUUGCAAUGGCCAAUUGUUAGAACAAAGACUAUUGGUAGAACAAAAACUAUUGUCUUACUUAUAAUUCAUGAAAUGUUUACUGUUGUAUCGAUUCUAAUUUCCAACUUCGUUCUAUAAACAUUAUAUUGUUUGGAAGUCACAGCUUCAAUGUAUAUUUGAUGUUUUCGCUUUGAUAAAUAAACAAAUUUUUUAAAUGCAGGUUUACAUCCGAAGACCUUUCUAUUUGUAAUCAAAUCUGCUUCUGAACGAAUUUUGAAUGCCCAUUAGUUUAAAAACUUUGCCAUGGCUUUCCACAUUAUGACAAUAUUGUAAGUCGUUUGGAAGCCUGUUUAAAUUCAUUACGUAAGAAUAGCUAUUUUUGUUAGAAAAUUUACCGCAAUAUCACUGUUGGCACAGGUCCGUUGGAAGUAUUUGUGCAAUUUCUUCUUAAAACCUCUGUUUGCUAAAAUUCAUAAGUAAAUACCUUAUAUAAAGCAGAGCUUGACUUCCUGUCCAUGAAAAUUUAAUGACCAAAGUAUUUUGUCUUACUCUGGUUUGAUUCUCAAGUAAUUCUUCAAAAUCUACUUCCAACAUAAAUUUCAACUCGAAAAAAUUUACAACGUUGCUAUCCUGUUUGUUAUACUGUUCUAUACUAAACUCUAAGAUUUUAAGCUCUAUGCUAAAAUAUUAAACGUCUCUUUACAACACAUUUGUUAAUUCAUGUUAACGUUCUUUAUCUACAAUGAAAUAUUACUGAAGAUCAUUCCAGGUAAAGGGAAUUCUGCAUUUUCUGGUUAUUUCUACUUUAACACUGCUAGAUAAAAUUUUUGAAAUUUUCAAAUAAUAGAAUUGUGCAAUUUUUGACUAAUUGAACCUGUAGACCGGGGGUAUAAUACUAUUUCCAUUCUUAUAAAAAAAUUGGUAUUUUCUAAACCAAAACUUUUCAUCUUUUUGCAAUUUAUGAUAAAUGUCGGAUAGCUGAAAACAUAUUAGAUUUUGGAACAAAUCUAAAACCGUUUUUACUAGAUACGGUCAAAAACGAACAAAAUGUUGAUGUUCUUGAAAAUCGUUUUGAAAAGUCCGAAGUAACUCUAAGCCUGUAAAUUCUCGUCAUUGAAGUCCGUGACAUUUAAGUGUACCUGCCCUGUUCUUAUCCAAAAUAAAAUCAUUUCAAUUAAAAACGAAAUCGAUGUCAUUGACAAAUUCAUAGCUCCUUUUCAACGUUAGAUAAGAUAGCAUUGUAGAGUAGCAGGUGAUCCUGUUUUCUGAUGUAUUACCCAUUACUGUUAAUGACUGUUUCUAUCAAAUUAACAAGUAAUUGAAUGUUUCUAUUGAUUAAUAAAUUUCAAGACUGUCCACGCUAAUUGCUAUUACAUUGAUCAACUUGGUACAAUGUCAAAUAAAACGGCUAGUCCUAAAGCAUUUAAUUAUGGUAAUUAUAAUGAUCUGACAUCAGUUGUGAAGUCAAUAAUUUGGCGGCAGUCACUGUAUUACUUAAGUGUACAGCUCAGCUCUUCAGAAGAAUCGUUAUCAUAAUAGUAAUUGAAUUGCAAGAGUCUGCUGUAAUUUUGAAAAAAUUACGUUAUCUAAUUAUCAAAAAACACAAUUUUUGUUGAAACAUUGUUGGUAUUGCGUAAUCAGGUAGCUGCUUUUUAGUUUAAUUUAAUUUCCAAAUUAUCUGAAUACGUAUAUCUGUUGGUUGUUUUACUUAGCUUGCGGUUCAAAUCUUGUUAUAGUGUAGUUGUAAUCAAAGCGUUAAUGUCAGAUUUUUUACACGCCAAACACUCGUCAAGUUGAAAUGGUUUCACGUACGGCAUAAAUAAUAGAUAAUGAAUUACCUAAAAUGACAUGCUUUUCUCGUGGCACUGUACAGUUUUCAUGGUGUCAUUAAUUUGGCACUUUAAGGAUCUUUUUGGAACUAUACAUCAUGCUUAAGCGAGCUGUUUAUGAAAUCUAGGAUUCGGAAGCUUACUCGCAGGGGUCCUUCUUCCGACAAAUCUAGGUCUUGAAAUCUCAGUUGAUCACAAUUUGUAGAAAUUUGCAUAAGUAAACAUCCGUAUCAUUGCAAGCAUUAACGCAACAGUUGUCAAGAAAAGCAAGCGCUUUGCGUUUGAUACGAAUGAUAAUAUUGGCUACGUGAAAUCGUUUUAAAGCUUUCUCUUUAUAUUUCGUGUGAUACUUGACAGAUUAACUUUUCAGGUGAAGGAACAUAGAGAAUAGAACCUUCUUUCUCAUACCUAAGCUGCAGAUUAAGCUGCAAAAAUGACAUAUGAUGAAUUGUGCGCAAGAGAGAUUCUAUUUGGUGCUUGCAUGUUGUUGCAAAGUUUCUAUAAGAUUUACAAGACGUAACGUGACUUUGAUGAUUACUUUUUACAAACAGUAAUCAAUUUCUUCAAUUUUGCUUUUUUGUCUACUCAUUUGCAGUUAUUACAUUGAAAGAACUUCUUACUACAGGUGUUAUACUUUCUUACAAGAUCUGUUUGACUGUUUAUCUUUGUGCCAGAUUUUUCGUCAAGAAUACACAGGAAUUCUUGAAAACGAUGAUCUUGCAAAAAUUGACAGUUUGUUUAUUUAUAGAUAAACAGAAGAUCAAAUUUGCCAAAAAGUAAAUUUUAAAUGUUGAUAGAACUUUCCUACAACCACCUUUAUCCUAUAAACUAUGCUGUUCUUUCUUAAUGAGCUCUGAUAUUGCUCUGAUGGCAAACUAGCUGCAAAGAAGGUGAAGAAAAAUACAUUGCUCUUUAUCAUUCUUG
Non-coding RNA from Rhopilema esculentum, 10903 nucleotides. The record is from RefSeq and is a predicted model, not a curated record. NCBI's taxonomy places the organism in Eukaryota, Metazoa, Cnidaria, Scyphozoa, Rhizostomeae, Rhizostomatidae.